AGCCGGUCCUCACUUUCAGUUGCAGGACCAGUGGAUUUGUCACUCCGACCAGUGUCAAGAUGAAGACUACUGUCGGAAUAACUGCUCCCUCAGGAAUGAA
This is a long non-coding RNA of Micropterus dolomieu (smallmouth bass), 100 nucleotides long. RefSeq lists it as uncharacterized. The transcript has 3 exons. The record is from RefSeq and is a predicted model, not a curated record. NCBI's taxonomy places the organism in Eukaryota, Metazoa, Chordata, Actinopteri, Centrarchiformes, Centrarchidae.